Molecule: ribosomal RNA, 253 nt
Filed under: uncultured bacterium
Lineage: Bacteria
Description: partial 16S ribosomal RNA
Rfam family: Bacterial small subunit ribosomal RNA
Source: RNAcentral
UACGUAGGGGGCAAGCGUUGUCCGGAAUCAUUGGGCGUAAAGCGCGUGUAGGCGGCUCGGUAAGUCUGCUGUGAAAGUCCAGGGCUCAACUCUGGGAUGCCGGUGGAUACUGUCGAGCUCGAGUCCGGAAGAGGCGAGUGGAAUUCCUGGUGUAGCGGUGAAAUGCGCAGAUAUCAGGAGGAACACCAAUGGCGAAGGCAGCUCGCUGGGACGUGACUGACGCUGAGACGCGAAAGCGUGGGGAGCAAACAGG